This 460-nucleotide ribosomal RNA is filed under the name uncultured bacterium. RNAcentral describes it as "partial 16S ribosomal RNA". It matches the Rfam family "Bacterial small subunit ribosomal RNA", at positions 338 to 795 of the family's 1533-position model. The record is from RNAcentral.
CCUACGGGAGGCAGCAGUGAGGAAUAUUGGUCAAUGGGCGGGAGUCUGAACCAGCCAAGUAGCGUGCGGGAUGAAUGCCCUAUGGGUUGUAAACUUCUUUUAUAUGGGGAUAACAUGUUCCACGUGUGGGGUUUUGUAUGUACCGUAUGAAUAAGGGUCGGCUAACUCCGUGCCAGCAGCCGCGGUAAUACGGAGGAUCCGAGCGUUAUCCGGAUUUAUUGGGGUUAAAGGGAGCGUAGGUGGGUUGUUAAGUCAGUUGUGAAAGUUUGCGGCUCAACCGUAAAAUCGCAGUUGAAACUGGCAGCCUUGAGUACAGUAGAGGUGGGCGGAAUUCGUGGUGUAGCGGUGAAAUGCUUAGAUAUCACGAAGAACCCCGAUUGCGAAGGCAGUUCACUGGACUGCAACUGACACUGAGGCUCGAAAGUGCGGGUAUCAAACAGGAUUAGAUACCCUUGUAGUC